This 119-nucleotide ribosomal RNA is filed under the name Triticum dicoccoides. The record is from RNAcentral. Lineage: Eukaryota; Viridiplantae; Streptophyta; Magnoliopsida; Poales; Poaceae.
GGAUGCGAUCAUACUAGCCCUAAAGCACUGGAUCCCAUCAGAACUCCGAAGUUAAGCGUGCUUGGGUGAGAGUAGUACUAGGACAGGUGACCUCCUGGGAAGUCCUCGUGUUGCAUUCC